This 506-nucleotide ribosomal RNA is filed under the name uncultured bacterium. RNAcentral describes it as "partial 16S ribosomal RNA". It matches the Rfam family "Bacterial small subunit ribosomal RNA", at positions 29 to 523 of the family's 1533-position model. The record is from RNAcentral.
AGUGAACGCUGGCGGUAGGCCUAACACAUGCAAGUCGAACGGCAGCACAGAGGAGCUUGCUCCUUGGGUGGCGAGUGGCGGACGGGUGAGGAAUACAUCGGAAUCUACUCUGUCGUGGGGGAUAACGUAGGGAAACUUACGCUAAUACCGCAUACGACCUACGGGUGAAAGCAGGGGAUCUUCGGACCUUGCGCGAUUGAAUGAGCCGAUGUCGGAUUAGCUAGUUUGCGGGGUAAAGUCCCACCAAGGCGGCGAUCCGUAGCUGGACGGAGAGGAUGAUCAGCCACACUGGAACUGAGACACGGUGCAGACUCCUACGGUAGGCAGCAGUGGGGAAUAUUGGACAAUGGGCGCAAGCCUGAUCCAGCCAUACCGCGUGGGUGAAGAAGGCCUUCGGGUUGUAAAGCCCUUUUGUUGGGAAAGAAAUCCAUCUGGUUAAUACCCGGGUGGGAUGACGGUACCCAAAGAAUAAGCACCGGCUAACUUCGUGCCAGCCGCCGCGGUAA